GGGUUGUGAGGUUAAGCGACUAAGCGUACACGGUGGAUGCCCUGGCAGUCAGAGGCGAUGAAGGGCGUGCUAAUCUGCGAUAAGCGCCGGUAAGGUGAUAUGAACCGUUAUAACCGGCGAUACCCGAAUGGGGAAACCCAGUGUGAUUCGUCACACUAUCAUUAACUGAAUCCAUAGGUUAAUGAGGCGAACCGGGGGAACUGAAACAUCUAAGUACCCCGAGGAAAAGAAAUCAACCGAGAUUCCCCCAGUAGCGGCGAGCGAACGGGGAGGAGCCCAGAGCCUGAAUCAGCAUGUGUGUUAGUGGAAGCGUCUGGAAAGGCGCGCGAUACAGGGUGACAGCCCCGUACACAAAAGCGCAUGUGCUGUGAGCUCGAUGAGUAGGGCGGGACACGUGGUAUCCUGUCUGAAUAUGGGGGGACCAUCCUCCAAGGCUAAAUACUCCUGACUGACCGAUAGUGAACCAGUACCGUGAGGGAAAGGCGAAAAGAACCCCGGCGAGGGGAGUGAAAAAGAACCUGAAACCGUGUACGUACAAGCAGUGGGAGCCCCACCACCAAAGCAUUCUCUGGUGUUGAAGGCCCUGCAAAGCAGCAUCGCGGUGGCGGAGCGUCGUUUGCGACGCCCAACACACAAAACAAGCGGUGAGUGCUUUGGGGUGGGGUGACUGCGUACCUUUUGUAUAAUGGGUCAGCGACUUAUAUUCUGUAGCAAGGUUAACCGUAUAGGGGAGCCGUAGGGAAACCGAGUCUUAAUUGGGCGUUAAGUUGCAGGGUAUAGACCCGAAACCCGGUGAUCUAGCCAUGGGCAGGUUGAAGGUUGGGUAACACUAACUGGAGGACCGAACCGACUAAUGUUGAAAAAUUAGCGGAUGACCUGUGGCUGGGGGUGAAAGGCCAAUCAAACCGGGAGAUAGCUGGUUCUCCCCGAAAGCUAUUUAGGUAGCGCCUCGUGAAUUCAUCUCCGGGGGUAGAGCACUGUUUCGGCUAGGGGGCCAUCCCGGCUUACCAACCCGAUGCAAACUGCGAAUACCGGAGAAUGUUAUCACGGGAGACACACGGCGGGUGCUAACGUCCGUCGUGAAGAGGGAAACAACCCAGACCGCCAGCUAAGGUCCCAAAGUCAUGGUUAAGUGGGAAACGAUGUGGGAAGGCCCAGACAGCCAGGAUGUUGGCUUAGAAGCAGCCAUCAUUUAAAGAAAGCGUAAUAGCUCACUGGUCGAGUCGGCCUGCGCGGAAGAUGUAACGGGGCUAAACCAUGCACCGAAGCUGCGGCAGCGACGCUUAUGCGUUGUUGGGUAGGGGAGCGUUCUGUAAGCCUGUGAAGGUGGCCUGUGAGGGUUGCUGGAGGUAUCAGAAGUGCGAAUGCUGACAUAAGUAACGAUAAAGCGGGUGAAAAGCCCGCUCGCCGGAAGACCAAGGGUUCCUGUCCAACGUUAAUCGGGGCAGGGUGAGUCGACCCCUAAGGCGAGGCCGAAAGGCGUAGUCGAUGGGAAACGGGUUAAUAUUCCCGUACUUGGUGUUACUGCGAAGGGGGGACGGAGAAGGCUAUGUUGGCCGGGCGACGGUUGUCCCGGUUUAAGCGUGUAGGUGUGUGUUCCAGGUAAAUCCGGUUCACUUUAACACUGAGGCGUGACGACGAGGCACUACGGUGCUGAAGCAACAAAUGCCCUGCUUCCAGGAAAAGCCUCUAAGCAUCAGGUAACAUCAAAUCGUACCCCAAACCGACACAGGUGGUCAGGUAGAGAAUACCAAGGCGCUUGAGAGAACUCGGGUGAAGGAACUAGGCAAAAUGGUGCCGUAACUUCGGGAGAAGGCACGCUGACACGUAGGUGAAGUGAUUUACUCAUGGAGCUGAAGUCAGUCGAAGAUACCAGCUGGCUGCAACUGUUUAUUAAAAACACAGCACUGUGCAAACACGAAAGUGGACGUAUACGGUGUGACGCCUGCCCGGUGCCGGAAGGUUAAUUGAUGGGGUCAGCGCAAGCGAAGCUCCUGAUCGAAGCCCCGGUAAACGGCGGCCGUAACUAUAACGGUCCUAAGGUAGCGAAAUUCCUUGUCGGGUAAGUUCCGACCUGCACGAAUGGCGUAAUGAUGGCCAGGCUGUCUCCACCCGAGACUCAGUGAAAUUGAACUCGCUGUGAAGAUGCAGUGUACCCGCGGCAAGACGGAAAGACCCCGUGAACCUUUACUAUAGCUUGACACUGAACAUUGAGCCUUGAUGUGUAGGAUAGGUGGGAGGCUUUGAAGUGUGGACGCCAGUCUGCAUGGAGCCGGCCUUGAAAUACCACCCUUUAAUGUUUGAUGUUCUAACGUGGACCCGUGAUCCGGGUUGCGGACAGUGUCUGGUGGGUAGUUUGACUGGGGCGGUCUCCUCCUAAAGAGUAACGGAGGAGCACGAAGGUUGGCUAAUCCUGGUCGGACAUCAGGAGGUUAGUGCAAUGGCAUAAGCCAGCUUGACUGCGAGCGUGACGGCGCGAGCAGGUGCGAAAGCAGGUCAUAGUGAUCCGGUGGUUCUGAAUGGAAGGGCCAUCGCUCAACGGAUAAAAGGUACUCCGGGGAUAACAGGCUGAUACCGCCCAAGAGUUCAUAUCGACGGCGGUGUUUGGCACCUCGAUGUCGGCUCAUCACAUCCUGGGGCUGAAGUAGGUCCCAAGGGUAUGGCUGUUCGCCAUUUAAAGUGGUACGCGAGCUGGGUUUAGAACGUCGUGAGACAGUUCGGUCCCUAUCUGCCGUGGGCGCUGGAGAACUGAGGGGGGCUGCUCCUAGUACGAGAGGACCGGAGUGGACGCAUCACUGGUGUUCGGGUUGUCAUGCCAAUGGCACUGCCCGGUAGCUAAAUGCGGAAGAGAUAAGUGCUGAAAGCAUCUAAGCACGAAACUUGCCCCGAGAUGAGUUCUCCCUGAGACUUUAGGUCUCCUGAAGGAACGUUGAAGACGACGACGUUGAUAGGCCGGGUGUGUAAGCGCAGCGAUGCGUUGAGCUAACCGGUACUAAUGAACCGUGAGGCUUAACCUUACAACGCCGAAG
This 3029-nucleotide ribosomal RNA is filed under the name Salmonella enterica subsp. enterica serovar Birkenhead. Its description in RNAcentral is "23S ribosomal RNA". It matches the Rfam family "Bacterial large subunit ribosomal RNA". The record is from RNAcentral. Lineage: Bacteria; Pseudomonadati; Pseudomonadota; Gammaproteobacteria; Enterobacterales; Enterobacteriaceae.